GACGAACGCUGGCGGCGUGCUUAACACAUGCAAGUCGAAUGGAAAGGCCCUGCUUUUGUGGGGUGCUCGAGUGGCGAACGGGUGAGUAACACGUGAGUAACCUGCCCUUGACUUUGGGGUAACUUCAGGAAACUGGGGCUAAUACCGGAUAGGAGCUCCUGCUGCAUGGUGGGGGUUGGAAAGUUUCGGCGGUUGGGGAUGGACUCGCGGCUUAUCAGCUUGUUGGUGGGGUAGUGGCUUACCAAGGCUUUGACAGGUAGCCGGCCUGAGAGGGUGACCGGCCACAUUGGGACUGAGAUACGGCCCAGACUCCUACGGGAGGCAGCAGUGGGGAAUAUUGCACAAUGGGCGGAAGCCUGAUGCAGCAACGCCGCGUGCGGGAUGACGGCCUUCGGGUUGUAAACCGCUUUCGCCUGUGACGAAGCGUGAGUGACGGUAAUGGGUAAAGAAGCACCGGCUAACUACGUG
RNAcentral lists this ribosomal RNA (468 nucleotides) under uncultured bacterium. RNAcentral's name for it is "partial 16S ribosomal RNA". It matches the Rfam family "Bacterial small subunit ribosomal RNA", at positions 28 to 507 of the family's 1533-position model. The record is from RNAcentral.